UACGUAGGGGGCAAGCGUUGUCCGGAAUUAUUGGGCGUAAAGAGCGUGUAGGCGGCCAGAUAAGUCCGCUGUGAAAUCUCGAGGCUCAACUUCGAGCUGUCGGUGGAAACUAUCUGGCUAGAGUCCGGAAGAGGAGAAUGGAAUUCCUGGUGUAGCGGUGAAAUGCGCAGAUAUCAGGAAGAACACCCGUGGCGAAGGCGGUUCUCUGGGACGGUACUGACGCUGAGACGCGAAAGCCAGGGGAGCAAACGGG
RNAcentral lists this ribosomal RNA (253 nucleotides) under uncultured bacterium. RNAcentral describes it as "partial 16S ribosomal RNA". It matches the Rfam family "Bacterial small subunit ribosomal RNA", at positions 524 to 776 of the family's 1533-position model. The record is from RNAcentral.